GACGAACGCUGGCGGCGUGCCUAAUACAUGCAAGUAGAACGCUGAAGCUUGGUGCUUGCACCGAGCGGAUGAGUUGCGAACGGGUGAGUAACGCGUAGGUAACCUGCCUGGUAGCGGGGGAUAACUAUUGGAGACGAUAGCUAAUACCGCAUGAUAUUGAUUAUUGCAUGAUAGUCAAUUAAAAGGUGCAAUUGCAUCACUACCAGAUGGACCUGCGUUGUAUUAGCUAGUUGGUGAGGUAACGGCUCACCAAGGCAACGAUACAUAGCCGACCUGAGAGGGUGAUCGGCCACACUGGGACUGAGACACGGCCCAGACUCCUACGGGAGGCAGCAGUAGGGAAUCUUCGGCAAUGGACGGAAGUCUGACCGAGCAACGCCGCGUGAGUGAAGAAGGUUUUCGGAUCGUAAAGCUCUGUUGUAAGAGAAGAACGAGUGUGAGAGUGGAAAGUUCACACUGUGACGGUAUCUUACCAGAAAGGGACGGCUAACUACGUGCCAGCAGCCGCGGUAAUACGUAGGUCCCGAGCGUUGUCCGGAUUUAUUGGGCGUAAAGCGAGCGCAGGCGGUUAGAUAAGUCUGAAGUUAAAGGCUGUGGCUUAACCAUAGUACGCUUUGGAAACUGUUUAACUUGAGUGCAAGAGGGGAGAGUGGAAUUCCAUGUGUAGCGGUGAAAUGCGUAGAUAUAUGGAGGAACACCGGUGGCGAAAGCGGCUCUCUGGCUUGUAACUGACGCUGAGGCUCGAAAGCGUGGGGAGCAAACAGG
RNAcentral lists this ribosomal RNA (765 nucleotides) under uncultured Streptococcus sp. Its description in RNAcentral is "bacterial SSU rRNA". It matches the Rfam family "Bacterial small subunit ribosomal RNA", at positions 28 to 776 of the family's 1533-position model. Lineage: Bacteria; Bacillati; Bacillota; Bacilli; Lactobacillales; Streptococcaceae. The record is from RNAcentral.